RNAcentral lists this ribosomal RNA (450 nucleotides) under uncultured bacterium. RNAcentral's name for it is "partial 16S ribosomal RNA". It matches the Rfam family "Bacterial small subunit ribosomal RNA", at positions 354 to 796 of the family's 1533-position model. The record is from RNAcentral.
GUCGAGAAUAAUUCACAAUGGACGAAAGUCUGAUGGUGCAACGCCGCGUGGAGGAUGAAGGUCUUCGGAUUGUAAACUCCUGUCAUCGGGGAGUAAGACCUGGCGGUAAAUAGCCGACAGGGUUGAUAGUACCCGAAGAGGAAGGGACGGCUAACUUCGUGCCAGCAGCCGCGGUAAUACGAAGGUCCCAAGCGUUGUUCGGAAUCACUGGGCGUAAAGGGAGCGUAGGCGUCUGGGUAAGUCAGAUGUGAAAUCCCGGGGCUCAACACCGGAUGUGGAUGCGAUACUGCCAGGCUUGAGUGGUGGAGAGGUAGCUGGAAUUCUCGGUGUAGCAGUGAAAUGCGUGGAUAUCGAGAGGAACACUCGUGGCGAAGGCGAGCUACUGGACAACAUCUGACGCUGAGGCUCGAAGGCCAGGGGAGCAAAAGGGAUUAGAUACCCUAGUAGUCC